This 500-nucleotide ribosomal RNA is filed under the name Paenibacillaceae bacterium CL6.41. RNAcentral describes it as "bacterial SSU rRNA". It matches the Rfam family "Bacterial small subunit ribosomal RNA", at positions 19 to 496 of the family's 1533-position model. The record is from RNAcentral. Lineage: Bacteria; Bacillati; Bacillota; Bacilli; Caryophanales; Paenibacillaceae.
CUGGCUCAGGACGAACGCUGGCGGCAUGCCUAAUACAUGCAAGUCGAGCGGAGUUUGAAUGGAAGCUUGCUUCCGUUCUUACUUAGCGGCGGACGGGUGAGUAACACGUAGGCAACCUGCCCUCAAGACUGGGAUAACUACCGGAAACGGUAGCUAAUACCGGAUAAUUUCUUUCCUCUCCUGAAGAGAGAAUGAAAGGCGGAGCAAUCUGCCACUUGGGGAUGGGCCUGCGGCGCAUUAGCUAGUUGGUGGGGUAACGGCUCACCAAGGCGACGAUGCGUAGCCGACCUGAGAGGGUGAACGGCCACACUGGGACUGAGACACGGCCCAGACUCCUACGGGAGGCAGCAGUAGGGAAUCUUCCGCAAUGGGCGAAAGCCUGACGGAGCAAUGCCGCGUGAGUGAUGAAGGUUUUCGGAUCGUAAAGCUCUGUUGCCAGGGAAGAACGUCCGGUAGAGUAACUGCUACCGGAGUGACGGUACCUGAGAAGAAAGCCCCGG